GUUUGUGAAACGAUUUAAACACGGUGUAAAAAUACAAAUUUCGUACGGUUUACCAGUCCCCUCCCCUUCCUCACCCCGUUGAAAAGCGGGUGAAAAAAUACAAACCGCAUUCGUAACGUACCUGCGUCGGUCGAGGGAGAAUUCGAAAUUCUCACCCGAACCAUAAUAAUAAUAAAUCUAAUAAUAAUUUUAAGCGAAACACGAUUUAGUCGUUUUUCUUACAAUAUAAAUAUUCAAAUCGCGCGGAAAAACAAUAAUAAUACAAAAAAAAAAAAAAAAAAAUCGUAGCUGAAACUGUAUGCAAGUGGCGAGGACCCCGGAGG
This is a non-coding RNA of Cinara cedri, 323 nucleotides long. The record is from the annotation of a GenBank genome assembly. NCBI's taxonomy places the organism in Eukaryota, Metazoa, Arthropoda, Insecta, Hemiptera, Aphididae.